CUGCUGGUAAAGGUCAUUACGUAUUACUUUACUUACCGGAGGAAAAGAAACCAACAGGGAUUGCCCCAGUAACGGCGAGUGAAGCGGCAACAGCUCAAAUUUGAAAUCUGGCCUCGGCCCGAGUUGUAAUUUGUAGAGGAUGCUUUGGGGGAGGUGCCUUCUGAGUUCCCUGGAACGGGACGCCAGAGAGGGUGAGAGCCCCGUUGUCGGACACCUAGCCUCUGUAAAGCUCCUUCGACGAGUCGAGUAGUUUGGGAAUGCUGCUCAAAAUGGGAGGUAUAUCUCUUCUAAAGCUAAAUAUAGGCCAGAGACCGAUAGCGCACAAGUAGAGUGAUCGAAAGAUGAAAAGCACUUUGAAAAGAGGGUUAAAUAGCACGUGAAAUUGUUGAAAGGGAAGCGCUUGUGACCAGACUUGCGCCGGGCUGAUCAUCCAGUGUUCUCACUGGUGCACUCGACCCGGUUCAGGCCAGCGUCGGUUCUCGCGGGGGGACAAAAGCGGUGGGAACGUAGCUCCUCCGGGAGUGUUAUAGCCCGCCGCCCAAUACCCUCGCGGGGACCGAGGUUCGCGCUCUGCAAGGACGCUGGCAUAAUGGUCAUCAGCGACCCGUCUUGAAACACGGACCAAGGAGUCGAGGUAUUGCGCGAGUGUUUGGGUGUAAAACCCGCACGCGUAAUGAAAGUGAACGUAGGUGAGAGCUUCGGCGCAUCAUCGACCGAUCCUGAUGUAUUCGGAUGGAUUUGAGUAAGAGCGUAUAGCCUCGGACCCGAAAGAUGGUGAACUAUGCCUGUAUAGGGUGAAGCCAGAGGAAACUCUGGUGGAGGCUCGCAGCGGUUCUGACGUGCAAAUCGAUCGUCAAAUAUGGGCAUGGGGGCGAAAGACUAAUCGAACCAUCUAGUAGCUGGUUACCGCCGAAGUUUCCCUCAGGAUAGCAGUGUUGUUCUUCAGUUUUAUGAGGUAAAGCGAAUGAUUAGGGACUCGGGGG
This 983-nucleotide ribosomal RNA is filed under the name Wallrothiella subiculosa. Its description in RNAcentral is "LSU rRNA". It matches the Rfam family "Eukaryotic large subunit ribosomal RNA", at positions 1 to 1035 of the family's 3401-position model. The record is from RNAcentral. Lineage: Eukaryota; Fungi; Ascomycota; Sordariomycetes; Amplistromataceae.